RNAcentral lists this ribosomal RNA (753 nucleotides) under soil bacterium ic139. RNAcentral's name for it is "bacterial SSU rRNA". It matches the Rfam family "Bacterial small subunit ribosomal RNA", at positions 19 to 766 of the family's 1533-position model. The record is from RNAcentral.
CUGGNUCAGAUUGAACGCUGGCGGCAGGCAUAACACAUGCAAGUCGAGCGGCAGCACGGUACUUGUACCUGGUGGCGAGCGGCGGACGGGUGAGUAAUGCCUAGGAAUCUGCNUGGUAGUGGGGGAUAACGCUCGGAAACGGACGCUAAUACCGCAUACGUCNUACGGGAGAAAGCAGGGGACAUUCGGGCCUUGNGNUAUCAGAUGAGCNUAGGUCGGAUUAGCUAGUUGGUGAGGUAAUGGCUCACCAAGGCGACGAUCCGUAACUGGUCUGAGAGGAUGAUCAGUCACACUGGAANUGAGACACGGUCCAGACUCCUACGGGAGGCAGCAGUGGGGAAUAUUGGACAAUGGGCGAAAGCCUGAUCCAGCCAUGCCGCGUGUGUGAAGAAGGUCUUCGGAUUGUAAAGCACUUUAAGUUGGGAGGAAGGGCAGUUACCUAAUACGUAUCUGUUUUGACGUUACCGACAGAAUAAGCACCGGCUAACUCUGUGCCAGCAGCCGCGGUAAUACAGAGGGUGCAAGCGUUAAUCGGAAUUACUGGGCGUAAAGCGCGCGUAGGUGGUUCGUUAAGUUGGAUGUGAAAUCCCCGGGCUCAACCUGGGAACUGCAUUCAAAACUGACGAGCUAGAGUAUGGUAGAGGGUGGUGGAAUUUCCUGUGUAGCGGUGAAAUGCGUAGAUAUAGGAAGGAACACCAGUGGCGAAGGCGACCACCUGGACUGAUACUGACACNGAGGUGGGCAAGCGUGGGA